CUUAAACUUUGUACGGGACAAAGUUUAACUUACUUUAGACUUUAUUCGUGACUAUGUUGGAAGAACGAUUAUUUUGUGGAUUGCCUUGUGCUUUGUGAAGUAAAAGACCCAUUUCCCUCUCUAUUAUGUUGAACAAUGGCAUCUCAAUUCAAGUUACUGGAAUUUGGGCUGAACUGGUGUAACCCAAAAAGACCUCUUCACAGGAAAGAAGGUCACACUUGCCUUUCCAACAGCAGGUAACCAUCUUCCAGACUUGGAAACAGCCAAAUCAGCCAGAGAUACAGAGGUUCAAAUAAGUGGGAUUUCUCUUAUGUAUGACUUCCAGGAUUCCAAGCAAAUCUUGAUGGCAUUCACUUCAUUUAUAACCUGUUCUAGAAGAGAUCACUACAUCACUCCAGGUUGUUUCCAGCAGAA
This 414-nucleotide long non-coding RNA is filed under the name Notechis scutatus (mainland tiger snake). Its description in RNAcentral is "lncRNA (ENSNSUG00000006149.1)". The record is from RNAcentral. Lineage: Eukaryota; Metazoa; Chordata; Lepidosauria; Squamata; Elapidae.